Molecule: ribosomal RNA, 85 nt
Filed under: Paenibacillus polymyxa
Lineage: Bacteria; Bacillati; Bacillota; Bacilli; Caryophanales; Paenibacillaceae
Source: RNAcentral
ACCCAUCCCGAACACGACCGUUAAGCCCUCCAGCGCCGAUGGUACUUGGACCGCAGGGUCCUGGGAGAGUAGGACGCCGCCAAGC